RNAcentral lists this ribosomal RNA (253 nucleotides) under uncultured bacterium. RNAcentral's name for it is "partial 16S ribosomal RNA". It matches the Rfam family "Bacterial small subunit ribosomal RNA", at positions 335 to 580 of the family's 1533-position model. The record is from RNAcentral.
ACGCCUACGGGAGGCAGCAGUAGGGAAUCUUCCACAAUGGACGAAAGUCUGAUGGAGCAACGCCGCGUGAGUGAAGAAGGGUUUCGGCUCGUAAAGCUCUGUUGGUAGUGAAGAAAGAUAGAGGUAGUAAUUGGCCUUUAUUUGAAGGUAAUUACUUAGAAAGUCACGGCUGGCUACGUGCCAGGAGCCGCGGGAAUACGUAGGGGGCAAGCGGUGUCCGGAGUUAUUGGGCGGAAAGCGAGUGCAGGCGGGU